This 256-nucleotide ribosomal RNA is filed under the name uncultured bacterium. RNAcentral's name for it is "partial 16S ribosomal RNA". It matches the Rfam family "Bacterial small subunit ribosomal RNA", at positions 524 to 776 of the family's 1533-position model. The record is from RNAcentral.
UACGUAGGGGGGCUAGCGUUGUCCGGAAUCAUUGGGCGUAAAGCGCGCGUAGGCGGCCCGGUAAGUCUGCUGUGAAAGUCAAAGGCUCAACCUUUGAAUGUCAGCGGAUACUGCCGGGCUAGAGUCCGGAAGAGGCGAGUGGAAUUCCUGGUGUAGCGGUGAAAUGCGCAGAGUAUCGGGAGGAACACCAGUGGCGAAGGCGGAACUCUGGGCCGGAACUGACGCGUGAGGAGCGAAAGCGUGGGGAGCGAACAGG